AUCCGGAUGAUGAGUCCCAAAUAGGACGAAAUGCGCCUCCUCGAU
This 45-nucleotide non-coding RNA is filed under the name Trichobilharzia regenti. The record is from RNAcentral. Lineage: Eukaryota; Metazoa; Platyhelminthes; Trematoda; Strigeidida; Schistosomatidae.